RNAcentral lists this ribosomal RNA (167 nucleotides) under Asterostroma muscicola. Its description in RNAcentral is "partial 25S ribosomal RNA". It matches the Rfam family "Eukaryotic large subunit ribosomal RNA", at positions 1 to 167 of the family's 3401-position model. The record is from RNAcentral. Lineage: Eukaryota; Fungi; Basidiomycota; Agaricomycetes; Russulales; Lachnocladiaceae.
CUCAAAUCAGGUGGGACUACCCGCUGAACUUAAGCAUAUCAAUAAGCGGAGGAAAAGAAACUAACAAGGAUUCCCCUAGUAACUGCGAGUGAAGCGGGAAGAGCUCAAAUUUAAAAUCUGGCAGUUUUUGAAGCUGUCCGAGUUGUAAUUUAGAGAAGUGUUUUCUG